Long non-coding RNA from Chelonia mydas (Green sea turtle), 2082 nucleotides. RefSeq lists it as uncharacterized. Lineage: Eukaryota; Metazoa; Chordata; Testudines; Cheloniidae. The record is from RefSeq and is a predicted model, not a curated record. The transcript has 3 exons.
GGGAGUAAAGGAGGAGGGAAUCCUAGGAGUCUCUAAAAAAGUCCUAAAUUUGGAAACAACAAAGUUUGAGGAGAGCCUCUACAAACCCGAACAUUCUCCAAACAUGGAGGACCAAAGACACUGUACAAAGCCAUCUCAUGGACCCUGGAAAAUUAUGGUGACUUCUUGAAUGCCAAAACUUAGAGCUGGUGGGAAAAGUGAGGAAAUGUUGACGCAGUAGCAAACAGCCAGAGACAGUCAGGCUGAGGAUGAUAUAAGUUUUGUACUCCAAAUCAGGUAUGCAGAAGGAAAUGCAUUCCUUUGCAUUCAACCAUUGGACCAGACACAUGCAGAGUGGUGUGGAAAAUAUGACUAUACCAGACAUAAAAGCUAGGAUGGAAGAACAUCAUCUCAGAGAAAAACUGGUUCGAAAAGAGAGAUACUCCAAUAAAAGCCCUCAGAAGGAAGUCUGUAGCAGGGGCCAAACCCAGUUGGAGCUGCUGAAGAGAGAGAGUUGGUAAACAGGGGUGCUGAAAUCUGGGGACCCAAUCUAAAGAUGGGAUGGAAUUCCACUUUGAGAGACGUGCAGGUGGUGGGUCUGUCACCUGAAAAGCAUGCCCAUGGAGGGUCUGGAGAGGGGUCAAAGGAAUAGCUUGCCCUGAAAUCCUGACUGCUGUUAACACUGUGAACUAAUGGAAUGUGUUCUACAACUGAUGUAUCUGCAAGGUCAUACCAUACCAGGUCUACAUACAAAUCUGGGCCACUUGGACAAUUUUUUGUUCAGAGAUUUCUCUGGGGCAGACAUAAUGGGGACAAACAAAACCAGAAAUUUCUUGCAUCCAGUUCAAGAAGAAGGCAUCAGUCAGAGAACUAUAACUUUUUUCCUCCUCUAGACAAAACUGUUGACAUUUGCAAACAGGUCUAUCUGAGCCAUUCCAUAUUUGCAGAAAAGGACUUAAACUAUAAAGUUCUUGAAGUACCAUUUGUGCUGGACAUUGUAAUUACUGCUCAGACGAUCUGCUGAGAUACUGACUUUGCUCAGAAGAUAGGCAGCUAUAUGUAUUACAGUGAUGAAUUCCGCAGCCAGCCUGCCUUUUGGCAGAGAACACUAGACUAAAUGCUGCUUUCAGUGUUGAUUUAGUACAUGAUCCUGGCAUUGGCUGUAAAUGCCUACGAUGUCUUUCUCUUGGUAUAAGGGAGAAAAGCUUUGAAUACUAGAUGAGCCACUCAUAAUUCCUGUACAUUUUAAUACUAGAUGAGCCACUCAUAAUGCCAUCUAGCCUCUGCAGGAUUCCACAGACAGUGUCAUUACAUUUAUUGACUGAGGUGAGCAUAACAGCCUGUUGUAGAUGCAACCAACAUUGUCAUUACAAAAGGAUUUGGAUGCACAAAUUUUUGACUGUAUCCAUUACAGAGAAGUAAGGACAUUGCAGAAUAGCCAUCAUUGACUCAGUUAUCUGAUUAGAGGUAGAUACACUGUCUGCAAUUAAUAGUGUGGAGGCCCCGUUUUGAGUUUGGCAAAUGGCAUCUAUUAAAAAUAGCAUAAAACCCAGAAGUUCCAAGAUAGGUGAAGUGUGUUUCUUGACUGAGAUCUAUCUGUGCUGCAUAUAGCUUUUAGAAUUGUCUCAUCAGUCAAGGAACACUGCAUUCUAAGAGUCCCAGCCAAGAAAUCAAAUUCAAGAUGAGUGACAUUAAAAUGAUCUUAUUUUGGUUAUACUACAUCUGUCUAUUUAAUCUUAAUUAGUAUUCUGUAUCACUGUUUUUUAACUUGCAUAUUUUGUUCAAAAUGUAACAAAUAGGCACAGUGAUUUCACCUGAAUAAUGUGGUAAAUGUACAUAAGUUGUAAGUAUUUGUACUAUAAACUUUGCAAACUGCUCAGCAAAGUGUUUAUUAUUAUAGAAAUCAAACCAAAAGUUAAAAAGUGUACUAUUGAAAAGCAUUUUUCAAAUAAAUGAUAGCAUUCUGUUCAAGGAAGGUUUCUAGUAUCAUCACAAACCAUUAAAUGGAGAAAAGUUGGAUUGUGAGAUGACAUGGAUUCUGAGAUGACUUAAUUUCUUUGAUCAAAGUAUUCCAGUGUUUUAUGUUUAUUUGUUCUGUUACUC